Molecule: ribosomal RNA, 484 nt
Filed under: Boophis elenae
Lineage: Eukaryota; Metazoa; Chordata; Amphibia; Anura; Mantellidae
Description: partial 16S ribosomal RNA
Rfam family: Bacterial large subunit ribosomal RNA (bases 1-391)
Source: RNAcentral
ACUAAGUGAGCUACUUUAAAAUAGCCCCAGAGCCAACCCAUCUCUGUUGCAAUAGAGUGGGAUAAUUUUUAAGUAGAGGUGAUAAACCUAUCGAACUUAGAGAUAGCUGGUUUUUUAAGAAAAGAUUUUUAGUUCAGCCCUGAGUCUUCUAUUACACAAGAAUUAAACUAAACUCAGGAGUUAUUCAAAUAAGGCACAGCUUAUUUGAAACAGGAUACAACCUAGAAAAAAGGGUAAGACAAAUUUAAUCUCUGACAAGUGGGCCUGAAAGCAGCCACCUUUUAAAAAGCGUCAAAGCUUAACAUUAAUAAUUUUCUUAAUAUCUAAAUUAAUUUCUAACCCUUAUUUACUAUUAAAAAACUCCAUAAAAUUAUGGAAGUUAUUAUGCUAGAACAAGUAACAAGAAAAAGACUUUCUCCAAAAUGUAAGCUUAAGCCACAACAGACAAACUGAUGGCAAUUAACGUUUAUGAGUCACUUGUAGU